CAGAGUCUAACGAUUCUGUAAUUGGAAUGAACUAAGCUUAAAACCCUUUAUGAGUAACAAUUGGAGGGCAAGUCUGGUGCCAGCAGCCGCGGUAAUUCCAGCUCCAAUAGCGUAUAUUAAAGUUGUUGCAGUUAAAAAGCUCGUAGUUAGACUUCGAUUAAAUAUAUAUUUAGUAUCUUAGGGUAUCAUUUAUCAUUAACUUCUCCUUCCUUUACUAACGUAACGGAAAUUUUACUUUGAGAAAAUUAGGGUGCUUAAGGCAGGCUUUUGCCAUGAAUACUCCGGCAUGGAAUAAUAAGAAAUGACUUUUAUUUUUCUUAUUGGUUCUAAAGUAAAGAUAAUGAUUAAUAGGAUCGGUUGGGGGCAUUUGUAUUCAACAGUCAGAGGUGAAAUUCUUAGAUUUGUUGAAGACAAACUACUGCGAAAGCAUUUGCCAAGGAUGUUUUCAUUAAUCAAGAGCGAAAGUUAGGGGAUCGAAGACGAUCAGAUACCGUCGUAGUCUUAACCAUAAACUAUACCAACUAGAGAUUGGAGGUUGUUCCUUACUCCUUA
Molecule: ribosomal RNA, 552 nt
Filed under: Cryptosporidium sp. koi carp
Lineage: Eukaryota; Apicomplexa; Conoidasida; Eucoccidiorida; Cryptosporidiidae
Description: bacterial SSU rRNA
Rfam family: Eukaryotic small subunit ribosomal RNA
Source: RNAcentral